Cordylochernes scorpioides is the source of this 77-nucleotide non-coding RNA. The record is from the annotation of a GenBank genome assembly. Lineage: Eukaryota; Metazoa; Arthropoda; Arachnida; Pseudoscorpiones; Chernetidae.
GUGUCCAGGGAUGGGAAUCGAACCCACAUUGUUCCGCUUACCGGGCAGAUGCCAUGACCAGGGUAGCCUAGUGGACA